AUAACCACUAAGAUGCGGUUUAAAGAAACAUUACACAAAGUUAAAAGAAAAACAAAUUUAAAGAUAAAAUUUCAACAGAGUUCUUGGAAUUUUGUAGAUGUAGUAAACAUUCAGAGCAAGGCUAAAAAUUAUACCAUGUUUGUGAGACUUAGAUGAAUCAAAACUGCAGGUUUUCUAGAAGUUUGCCUACAAACUCUAAUGGGCUAUCUUUUCCUAUAAUCAAAGCAAGUAAAGCUUAAAUUACAAAUCCAUGUGUAGUUUCUAAUUUUUCGUUUAAGACAGCUUUUUGUUAUUUCUUUUUCAGUCUGCUGUACUGCCACCGCCCAAUAUAUAAUAUUUCAGGAAACAUUGCAUUAUGAAGGGCUGCAUAACAGUUAAGAAGGCUUUAUUUACAUCUCCAUUUCAUGGGAGUGAAAAGUGGUGCUCAAAGGCUAAAUAACUUCACAGUUGUCUUACUACGAAGCCAAAUACUCUUAGCACACAACUCCUGCUACAUAUUAGAUGCUGAAGAAAACGUUUAUUUCCACCCCUGCAUCAACUUACAAUGCUGAAAUAUUUGGGAACUCCUAAAUAAUCCAUAUACAAUAAAAAUGUAAGUGGGGAUAAAUUUGAAAGUGUUGUUUGCUUGCUGUUUUUUGUUUGAUCAGUGUGAUUUGAUUAUUCCUAAAGUUUCCAUUCUUCUAAAAAAAAUCUUGAUUUCUUUUUAUUAAUUUUUUCUAUCCUUCACUGUAAAAAUCCAAUACCAAACUCAUAUGAAAAACAAAAUCUCUAUUUUAGGAUCCAGAAUAUCCACUAUCUACU
This 801-nucleotide long non-coding RNA is filed under the name Papio anubis (olive baboon). RNAcentral describes it as "lncRNA (ENSPANG00000050742.1)". Lineage: Eukaryota; Metazoa; Chordata; Mammalia; Primates; Cercopithecidae. The record is from RNAcentral.